Long non-coding RNA from Myodes glareolus (Bank vole), 518 nucleotides. RefSeq lists it as uncharacterized. Lineage: Eukaryota; Metazoa; Chordata; Mammalia; Rodentia; Cricetidae. The record is from RefSeq and is a predicted model, not a curated record.
CAUCCGUUUUCUUCACCCAUCCCCCUGUUGCUGGGCACCCAGGCUGGCUCCGUAACUUAGCCACUGUGAGCAGAGCUGCAGAGACCAGUGAUGCACAGCUGUCUCCGCGAUAUGCUGACUCAGACCCUGGGGUAAAUAUCCCGAUAUCGCUGGGUCACGUGACGACCUCUGACAAACCAUUACCUCCCUUACUCAUGAUAAUCCUGCAAGAGGACCUUGUCGUUUCUGCUUCACGGAUGCAGACUCCACGGCUCAAGGGGGUAAAGUACCGCGUCACUGAUGAGAGACCGAGCUGCUUUGUAAGUCGAGCUGUUGGUUCCCAGAGAUCACACCUGAACUGGAUCCUGGAGGAUGCCCUCGAAGGAGGAAAACAUGGUCACGGGUCUCAUUUAUCCGUGUGACAUCAUCAGUCCCAGCAACAGGCAGGGGAUGGAGAACAGGGGUGUAGUUGGUUUUUCACUCCUUGAGGGCAUGCCACCUCACUCCCAAAUAAAUACAGACUCAGUCUUACUUUUGAA